CUACUUCCUUUUUUUUUAUAGUAUGUUAGUCUUUUUUUUCCUAAUAUGUCACUCUAUUUUAAAAUAAAAAAUUAUGUUUAACAUAGAUAAACUUUUUCAAUAAUUUUUUUUUCAUUUAUAACAACAAACAAUAUAUAUUAAAAUUACAAUUGAACAUAAUUUUUGAAAAACAAAAACAAAAAGGUUAAAUACAAAAAGAACAAAAAACGACAAACAACACUACAAACAUACUAAAAAUACAAAAGUUAAUAAUAAUAAUCUGCGCGUAGCAAUAUAAAUUUACCAAAAUAAUGUACAAAUACACAUAGAAAAUUUUAAAUAUCUUAAAAAUAAAAAUUAAUCAAAAAGUAUAUCACAAUUAUAAGAAACUACCAAGUUACAACAAUCAAUGGUCAAACUGAAAAUAAUAAUAACUAAACACUGAGUACAUAAUUAAACAUAUAGUAAAGACUAGAGAAAACAUAUGGAUAUGAAAAAAAAAUUUAAAAACUGAAGACAAAAAUAAAUAAAAUCCUAAUAUAAUUAAAAAUUUAGAAAAAUGGUUGGAAACAUAUAAGUGCCAAAAUCUACAUUAUACAAAGAUAAACUUCUUAAUCGAGAGGGAAAAUGAAGUAAUAGGAAGGUUUACACCUACGUAGAUACACAAUAGAAAACAUGCAAUAAAAAUGAAUGUUAAAUAAAUAAAUCUUAUUGUAAGUACACAUUUGUGCGACUAAUUAUAUAGGAUGAAAAUAAUACUUUUAUAAAAUUACCUUAGCAACUGGAAGGAAAAUCAUGCUGGUGACUAAAAUUAAUCCUCAAAUAUAUAAUGAUUAAGAAACUAUAUUAAUUAAACAUAUAAAAUAUAUUUUAAAAAUUAGUGAAAAUUAUUAUAAAAAAUUAGUAGUCACUGUAACAUCAUUACUAAGAUUUUACUUUAACAGGUCUGUAAACACUGCUCGAAGUUUCAAACAAAAAUAAUAAAAAAUUAAAAUACAAAAAUAUAUAUCAUACUACUUAAGAUAUCAACGGAAAUUAAAGAUUUAGAUAAAAAAUAUUAAACUAAUUUUUCACAUUUAGUGUUUUAGUUAUGCUACUUAUUUUUCAGUUUCAUAAAUUUUAAACUUAUUAUGUAAAUAUCAAAAAUGUCAGGCAUAAAAUAAGAUAAUGAUAAGUUUACUCCAAAUUUACUAGAAAAAAUAAAGCAAAAAUAAUGAAAAUUAUUUAACCAAUAAAUUCUUAUAAAAAAUACAAACUCAAACAAUACAACUCACCUAAUAGUAAAGGGAUACUGAAAAACUUUUAUUUAAUGAUUUUGAAUUUGAAAAUUCAUUUUUUUAAAAUACCUUUCUUAUAUAUGAAAAGAUAUUUUAUCCUGAUUUAAUUUCAAACUAACACAUUUAAAACUAGAUUUAAAAUUUAAUUUACUUAUGUUUUGAAAUAAGAAUAUAUUUAAGAUAUAUACAUGUUAAUCAUUACAAAUGACAAAUAGUUAAAUUUUCCAAAAUGUUUUAAAGUACAUUUUAAUAAAAAUUACAAAAUCUAUAUAAAAAGAGAACCUACACACUUUAAAAAAAAAAAAAACUUAAUUGCCUAAGUAACAAGGGAAAUAUCCUAUUACAGACUUACACUCCUUGCAAGCAUAUUUAAUUCUAUGCUCAUACAUAUGAUCUGUGUUAUUUUCAUACACACUUCUAUCUUAAGUCAAAUAUCUUAUCAUUUUUAGUUUUUUAUACGAAGGAUCUUUUUAUUGCUUUUAUUUACUAACCUUUCAUAUUAACAAAGAAAGAUCAGACGAAAUAGAAAUACUUCAUGUUUUAUUUUC
This 1804-nucleotide long non-coding RNA is filed under the name Brassica rapa (field mustard). RNAcentral describes it as "long non-coding RNA (BRAP_LNC002910)". The record is from RNAcentral. Lineage: Eukaryota; Viridiplantae; Streptophyta; Magnoliopsida; Brassicales; Brassicaceae.